UCGUAGGUGGUGGUGUUAUGAGAACAAGAUAUUCAUCAAUACUUAGUUUUUUUCUAUUUAUGUUGUGAUAUUUUAUUCAUUUGUAACAAUGACCUAAUUAUAAUACUUAAAAAUUAAAUUAGUAGUAAUAUGGGUGUAAUUUGUCAAUAAUACUAAUAAUUUAGAGUGAUGACAUUGAAGAAGAUUGCUAAAAUGUCAACAAAAUCACAAAUAUCCUCAGAAUUAAAUGACAGCAUUAGUAAUGUCCUAGGGAAAAAUGUGAAAAUAUUAUAUAAAUCCUUAAUUCGCAUGGAAUCGAGAGGAGACAAAGUGGAUAAUCGAGUUUUAGUUGUUACAUCAUAUAGAAUAUUUAUAACAACAACAAAAAUCCCAACAAGGAUUGACAAUGGAUUUCACUUGAUGGAAAUAGAGGCUCUGGAGAGCAAAAAGGCAAAUCAUCUAUCAAUAACACUCAUUCAUGAACAUAAGCCUGUAUCUAUUCUUAUUGGUGAAGAAGGAUCGCCGGAAGGUGUUAUUAAUGCAAUACACGCGCUAACGGCCGCGUUUGAUGACUUAUUUCCUAAUGUGGCUAUGGAGGACAUUAUAUCCAAGGUGAAUUUACCAUUCCCACUGCAAGCCGUCUGCGGUACGCGAAAGCAUUCAACCUGCGGUGACUUUUCUAAUCAAUAUGCAGCAAUGUGUGAUCUUUGCCAAACACCUUUUAGGGCCGAAGUUGCAUGGGACAUUGAUACAAUAUAUUUGGCGCACGAUAUACGAUUAUUACACCUUAAAGAUUUCGACCAUUUAGAUCAGAGGGAUUUAAUACCGCUGCUGAUAGCGCUGCAACACAACACGUGGUUCACGGGCGUGUGCGGCGACGGCGUACGCGUCGGCAGCGAGGCGUGGGAGGCGCUCUCGCGCGUGCUGCGCUGCGCCGCGCCGCCGCCGCAGCAGCUCAGCUGGCGGGGUGCGUCGCUGCGGCACGACCACGCGGCGCGGCUGGGGCACGCGCUGGCCAGAGCGAGGACGCCGCCUGCGAUGCACACCAUAGACUUGUCGCAGAACCAUAUAGAGGAUAAGGGAGCCAUCAGUGUACUAACGGGCCUAGCAAACAACCCAGAUGGCAUACGCCACAUAGCCCUGUCGCAAUGCGGUCUGACCGGGAAGACCGUAUCGCACCUCGCCUCCUUGCUCAAUGACAAUCUGUGCCAUCUCAAUACCUUGACCCAUCUUGAUUUAUCCCAUAAUAACCUUAAGGAUGACGUACAUCACCUGUAUAAUUUUUUAGCGCAGCCCAAUGUAUUGACGCAUUUAAAUUUAAUUAACACGGAAACUACGCUAGAAAAUAUGUGGGGUGCCCUAUUACGUGGAUGUGCGGCACGACUUUCAGCGCUGUAUGUGGGGCGAAACCCCUGGGCAAUAGGGCGAAGGCCUAGAGAUCCGCCACCAUCAUUUCGACAGUUUUUUACUGCGUGUUUGGCUCUUACGGAUCUGGAUUUCUCAUAUUGCAAGAUGCCGCCUGAUGCACUUAAGAGCCUCCUACUGGGUCUGGCGUGCAACGAGAGCGCGGCGGGCGUGAAGCUGAACGCGUCGGGCGCGCUCGCGUCGUCGCAGGCGGCGCACGUGCUCGAGUCGUGCAUACACGGCGUGCGCUGCUUGCAGUCGCUCGACCUCUCCGAUAAUAGUAUGGAAUUUGAGUUAUCUGGAAUUGUAAGAGCAGUAGGAAAAAACCAUUCCAUAACGCAUUUAUCUUUAAGUAAACUAACAGGAAAGAGAUCGUACGCCCCACCGCUAAUACAGGCCUUAGUUCAUGUUUUACAAGAACCGGACACAGCUUUAACAUCUUUGGAUCUCAGCGAUUGUAAGCUUAAGGGUGAUUUAUACGGAUUAUUGAACGCGUUGGGUGGAGCACGACGCUUGCGCACUUUGGACGUGUGCGGCAACCUGGCGGGCGACGCGGGCGCCAGGCUGCUGGCAAAGGCCUUGCAGUGCAACUGCACUCUGCACACCCUGUAUAUAGAUCGGAACGCGUUUAGCUUGCAAGGUCUGACGGACAUAGCGACGGCGCUGCGGCGCUCGGUGAGCGUGCGGCGCGUGGAGUUCCCCGCCAGCGACGCGGCGGCGGGCGGCCGCGGCGCCAGCGAGCGCGUCGCCGCGCUCUGGCGCGACCUGCACGAGCGACUCGCAAGCAACAGCGCGGCGUCCCAAACGCACCGCUUGCGGGCUCUAGCGCUGGAGCGCGCGUGGGGCGGCGGAGAAGCGGGCGCGGCGCUCGCGGCGCAAGCGGCUGGAGCGCUGCCGCCCGCGCCGCUGCCGCAGGCGCUGGAGCGCGCUGCAGCCGCUGCACACCACCUCCUGCAUCAGUAUCUGCAGCGCUGCGGCGAGGUGUUCGCAGCGAUGGGCGGUACCAAUGCUGCGGGAGAACUAGUGCCUCUUCAAGCUGUACGUGACGCGCUGGCACCCAGCUCCAAUACUCUGCAGGACUUGCUCAAUGAGGCGGUAGAAAGUAUGGCGCUAGCGGCGUGCGAGAGCGUGGAGAGUGCGGACAGUGAACACGCAAUCAAUACCGAUCCGGACAUACCCGAUUUGCUCACACCUAUCUCGCAUUCUGGGAAAUUGGAUUAUUUGAAUUUGGCGACGCCGCUGGGCGGGCGGCGGCGCGAGCGCGGCGGGCGGCGCGUGCGGCCCAAGUCGGUGGCGGAGCAGCAGUGCAGCAGCAACGAGAUGCUGUCGCUGCCGCCGCUGCACGCCGAGGCGGCGGACGCGCUCGCCGACCUGCCCGCGCACAAGCUGCGCCACCUCGUCAAGGGGCGACCACGACGUGUAAAAACGAGAGCGCCGUCACGGCCCAUAACGGACCAGUCCCAAGACAUCGACGAAGGUCUGGAGGAGUUCUGGCGCACGUGCCGCACGCCGCCCGGCAGCGAGGAGGCGUCGUCGCUGUCGGCGCGCACGGCGCUCACGUCGCGCUCGCUGCACUCGCUGUCGUCGCUCGCGUCCGCUUCGCCCGCCUCGCCCGCCUCGCCCUCGCCGCUGCGCCACUCGCCCACGCUGCGCCGCGACGACACCAUGUACAGUGUAACAUCCGGUGAAAGCACGCCAGUGUUAUUAGAAUGCGAAGUAUCUCGCUGCAAGUCUUCCGACAAUGUGGGCACCAAAGCUUCGUCGUCUACGCCACCGCCUUCCAGGUCUUCAGAUAAUGUGAACGCGAUGGAAGGCGUGGAGGCGUGCGUGGGCGGCAGCAUCGUGGGCAUCACGCCGGGCGCCGCACUAACCAGUAACCAACUUUCUGACGCUAUCCUAUACUGAGCCCUAGGGCAUCUAGCGUAGCAAUAGCAAGUCCGUGUUAGGUUCAAUGUUACGAGAUCAUCCACUAACUCCAGACGGCGGUGAGGCUUGAAAACUUUCGGAAUGGGUCGAAUGGGCGACGUGAUAAUGAGCAGGGUUAUCGGUACUCUCAGUAUUGGAUGCUCACUGAUGUGCCACUUAUUAGCGUAGGACGUACACAUUUGGUAGUCGACACUAGAGCAGGAUAGCUUCACGAUAGGUACUGACUUACGUUAUUUGACAGUUUUAAUUCAACUAUAUGGCUGUUUGAAUUGAAUACAUUUAUAUUGGUUCCGAUGGUGGAAUUGUACAAUAGGGUAGUCGGUAGUCUUAUUGAAGAGAGUGAUGGUCAACUUCAUUGUUGGUAACCAUUAUCGUAUGAAGAAAUAUUUGUAUUUUGUUUGUCUUGGGAGUAUGUUUUCGUGUGUAUUUUGGAAUAUGAGGAAAAAUGAUUAUCCCUCGAUCAUUUAACCAUUGUUAAAACAUAAAUAAGUAGGGGUACUUGCAGUGAAUAAUAAUAAUAUAAAAAAUAUGGGAUUUUUACUGAACUGUACAAAUGUGCUGUAACUGGAAUACAGUUGAAUUAAAGCUGUCGAAACGUCGUUUAAAAUUUAAAUAUUUCAAAUAAAGUUAAAUUCUGGAGCUGAUUCGUAUUUAUAAAGACUAUGAAUGGAUUUUCUACUACAUAUUUAAAUCUGCGUUGUAUUAACCGUUAUGAAAUUAUGAAAUUCUUGAAAUGAACGAGAUUAACUAGAAACAUGCAAAUAAUUUUCCAUUUUUAUUUAGAAGUGUUUACCAAUAAAUUAAUAGAUAACAAAACGAUAACUUUACCAAGGAGUAUUACGGCACUUAUCUAUUGACAUGAAGUUCGGUUAUAAUAUUUAGAGAUAAGUUUUUAUUUAAUAUUCCCAAUAAUCGUUUCAUAUUUACUGUGAUUUGUUUAGUGUUAAUUAAAAUUGAUUUAUAUAGCCUAUUAUAUUUAAUCUUGUGUUAUAUACGUAUAAGUUAGAAGCACUUUUAAAUUCUUUACACGUGUAGUUAUAAACUAAAUGAGGGUCGCAUUACAUUUUCAAAUUGCUUAGCUCGGUUUUUAUUUAUAUGUGUAAUUUGAAAGUAGUCAUUAAACGUUUCAACUUAGCUUGUACCGAUAGCUAAUGUAAUAUUUUACGUAACGAGUAAAUAUACCUCGUGAUUUGAGACCUCGGUACAAGCAUAUAUAUAAUAGUCUUCUACAAAGGGCUGCCAUGAUAUUUAAAAUGAUUAAAAAAAUAACAAAUCGGUCUUUCCUAGUCAUGUUAUUAAGGCCUAUGAAUUACGCACAAUUUGUUUAUCGUACAGGGGUUCAAUUGUAAUAUUUAUUUGUUUUAAAAUCUUCCAAUUUAUACAUUCCGUAUUUGUUGUAUGUACAGUUUAAGCGUUUGAAAAUUAUGAACGAGUGUGAUUUUUAAUAAAAGUUCAAAAUAAUAACUCGAAAUGUCAUGUAAUGUUCAAUUUUUACAGUAAUAAUAGAAUAGAGAACACCCCAUAAUUUUAAGUGUUCAUUAGAAUAACUAUUUGUACAAUCAAUUAUUCGUAUUCGUUUAUCUUCUGAAAUAAGGCUGUCUUUUAUUGAAAUUUCAUAAACAUAAAAUUACUUACCUAAGUAGAUUCUAUAUAGUAUAAUAUUGCUAAAUUAUUUAAUAGUAUUUUUAUAUUAAUUCCCGUUUAUUUCAUUUAUUAUCUAGCUCUUUGGUACCAGACUGAUUUUAGGUACAUUUAUUUUAUGGUGCAAUUUAUGUCUAGAGCGUUGUGAUAAUCUGAUUUUAAUUAUAUUAUACAACAAA
This 5129-nucleotide unclassified non-coding RNA is filed under the name Zerene cesonia (dogface butterfly). Its description in RNAcentral is "f-actin-uncapping protein LRRC16A-like, transcript variant X3". The record is from RNAcentral. Lineage: Eukaryota; Metazoa; Arthropoda; Insecta; Lepidoptera; Pieridae.